This 480-nucleotide ribosomal RNA is filed under the name uncultured bacterium. RNAcentral's name for it is "partial 16S ribosomal RNA". It matches the Rfam family "Bacterial small subunit ribosomal RNA", at positions 29 to 505 of the family's 1533-position model. The record is from RNAcentral.
AUUGAACGCUGGCGGCAUGCUUUACACAUGCCAGUCGAACGGUAACAGGCCGCAAGGUGCUGACGAGUGGCGAACGGGUGAGUAAUGCAUCGGAACGUGCCCAGUCGUGGGGGAUAACUACUCGAAAGAGUAGCUAAUACCGCAUACGAUCUAUGGAUGAAAGCGGGGGACCGUAAGGCCUCGCGCGAUUGGAGCGGCCGAUGUCAGAUUAGGUAGUUGGUGGGGUAAAGGCUCACCAAGCCAACGAUCUGUAGCUGGUCUGAGAGGACGACCAGCCACGGUGGGAGUGAGACACGGCCCAGACUCGUACGGGGGGCAGCAGUGGGGAAUUUUGGACAAUGGGCGCAGGCCUGAUCCGGCAAUGCCGGGUGCAGGAAGAAGGCCUUGGGGUUGUAAAGUGCUUUUGUACGGAACGAAAAGGCUCUGGUUAAUACCCGGGGAAAGUGAGGGUCCGGUAAGAAUAAGCACCGGAAAACUACG